Nothobranchius furzeri (turquoise killifish) is the source of this 1045-nucleotide long non-coding RNA. RefSeq lists it as uncharacterized. Lineage: Eukaryota; Metazoa; Chordata; Actinopteri; Cyprinodontiformes; Nothobranchiidae. The record is from RefSeq and is a predicted model, not a curated record.
GCAGCGGUGGAGUACAACCCCAUCGAUGUAAAUCAACAAACGCCAACAACUCAUCAGGCGCCCGCCGCCGACGUGCUACCUGCUCUUUAGCUGACUCGGUCACAGCGAGGGGAGCAGGCGACGCUCCAUCAGCCAGGAUGGCGGCAGCAGCACUAGCAGGGGAGGGAUUGCCCCCCCCCCCCCGUCGGGAGCUGGCCUUUCUAAAAGUGUCUGUCCACCUCCAAGUGCUGGAGCUCGUGUUAUAUUUGGCAGCUUGACAGGUGCGCCGGGCAGAUCGCGUGAGUAGGUUGAGUGGUUAAUGCACCCCAACUUAGAUGUCACUUUGGUUCCGGGUUUGACCUUCAAAGGUUAAAAUGGCAUCCAGUGGUGUGAAGGGAGGAGACCAAGGAGGAAGAGCUCCUAACGUAUCAUUACCAAAGAGAUCAGGAAAGACACAAAUGGGAUCGGAGCUUUCCUACCUGUGGGAAACUCUGCAGGAACCACAUCCGUGUCUCCAGCUACCAGCGAGGGAACAAUCCACGUGAAGCCAUAACCAGUAAUCCCAACAGAGUGGGCCACCUCAAAGAUGGUGUUGGCCUCCUCUUUAGUGCAGUAGAGGAGAAUCACUGGACUCUGGAGCUUCUUCAGCUGGUUCUGGAUCUUGGAAUCUCCAUCAUCUACAGACAUGUCCAGCAAAAGGACUUCUUCUAGUUCCCAGCCCACAAAGCUAUUCUCGAUGGUGUUUCGGAUCUGAGAAAAUAUGAGAAGUGAAGAUCAUGCACAAAGAAAAAAACAAGACGUAGCAACAGUUAGUUUCCAAAAGGGAAGCCAACACGGAAGUGACCAAAAACGCAGCCCCGUCUUCGUCCUCUAGGGGCUGGCUCCAGAAAGCAGCGGCUUCCCAUCGACUCCCGUGUUUAAAACGCCAACUUCACAGCAGAAAUGUUUACAGCCUGGUUCAUUUUUGGUUUAAUAGGUCAAGUUUACCAUUAUGACAACUCAGACAGGGUGAAUUUAUUUGUCACUAAUUUGUUUAGAUGUAAUUAAAGCUUGAAAUUAUGAAGAA